Molecule: ribosomal RNA, 336 nt
Filed under: Dendrosporobacter quercicolus DSM 1736
Lineage: Bacteria; Bacillati; Bacillota; Negativicutes; Selenomonadales; Sporomusaceae
Description: bacterial SSU rRNA
Rfam family: Bacterial small subunit ribosomal RNA
Source: RNAcentral
UUUUAUGGAGAGUUUGAUCCUGGCUCAGGACGAACGCUGGCGGCGUGCCUAACACAUGCAAGUCGAACGGUCUGGUGUUUAACACCAAGAGUUACGUGCAAAAAGAGAAAGCCGAGCAGAGCAAGCGUAAUAUGAGCGAACGAAGUGAGCUCAUCACGCCCUCAAAAGUGCCUAUCGAGGAGCAUAGAACGAUUGGUGUUGAACAUCAGAUAGUGGCGAACGGGUGAGUAACGCGUAGACAACCUGCCUUCCAGAUGGGGACAACACCGCGAAAGUGGUGCUAAUACCGAAUAAAGUAUUUUGAGCGCAUGCUUGAAAUAGCAAAGGUGGCCUCUG